UCAGACGAUGCGUCAUGCAUAUCAAUAAGCGGAGGAAAAGAAACUAACAAGGAUUCCCUUAGUAACGGCGAGUGAAGCGGGAAGAGCUCAAAUUUGAAAUCUUAAAGGGUUUCCCUUUACGAAUUGUAGUUUAAAGAAGUGUUUUCUGUUAGAGUUUCGGUAAAAGUUCUUUGGAAUAGGACAUCAUAAAGGGUGAGAAUCCCGUAUUUGACCGUUAUUUCUAGCUUUGUGAUACACUUUCAAAGAGUCGGAUUGUUUGGGAAUGCAGUCCAAAAUGGGUGGUAAAUUUCAUCUAAAGCUAAAUAUUGGCGAGAGACCGAUAGCGAACAAGUACCGUGAGGGAAAGAUGAAAAGAACUUUGAAAAGAGAGUUAAACAGUACGUGAAAUUGUCAAAAGGGAAGCGUUUGACACCAGUGUUGUUUUCUCGAAAAUCAAUUAAAAAAGGCAGGAUUUUGUGUUGUAUUGACUUUAUCAGCUUUCUGCACUCUUUUCUUGUCUUUUUUUAAUGCACUUUUCGCUUAACAAGUCAACAUCAAUUUCUUUUGUUGUAAAAGGGUCAUUGGAAGGUGGCUUUCUUUUCGGAGAAAGUGUUUAUAGCCUUUGGCCUCUGCAAUCGGAGAGAUUGAGGUCUGCAGCGUAGAUCCUUCGGGGUUAGAUACAUUUGUGCUAAGUUAUAGCCUUUCAUAGACAACUUGUUGACUAUGAUCAGUCAUGUAGCUUACUCGCUUAUGCUAUUUUACCUACGCUUAGGAUGUUGAUCUACAGAGCGAGAGU
Molecule: ribosomal RNA, 775 nt
Filed under: uncultured Neocallimastigales
Lineage: Eukaryota; Fungi; Neocallimastigomycota; Neocallimastigomycetes; Neocallimastigales
Description: partial large subunit ribosomal RNA
Rfam family: Eukaryotic large subunit ribosomal RNA
Source: RNAcentral